UGUGAGGGAUUCUGCAGUACCACGAGUUUACAACCUGUCAACAGCUUCUCUAAGGGAAGUCAUGUCACUGAUGUUACUGUAGACACUGCUGUCGCCAAUUCAACUCUCAAACAAAACUACAUACAGAUUGGCAUUUAUGACGGAAGGACAGUAGCAGUCAAACUAAUUCACAAGAAACAUUUCACUCUUGUCAAAACCAUCAGGAAAGAAGUGAAGCAAGUAAGGGAACUGGAUCACCCUAAUCUUUGUAAAUUCAUUGGUGGCUCCAUUGAAGUCCCCAAUGUUGCCAUAGUGACAGAAUACUGCCCCAAAGGAAGCCUCGCGGAUGUUCUUUUAAAUGAAGAUGUUCCGCUGAACUGGG
Acipenser ruthenus (sterlet) is the source of this 361-nucleotide long non-coding RNA. RefSeq lists it as uncharacterized. The record is from RefSeq and is a predicted model, not a curated record. The transcript is spliced from 3 exons. NCBI's taxonomy places the organism in Eukaryota, Metazoa, Chordata, Actinopteri, Acipenseriformes, Acipenseridae.